UAUAUUAUAUAGACCGAAGUAAGAACGUUUUUGGUUCUAAUAAAAGAAGCUUUGCUUCCAGAAAAUAAAUGGGACUUUGUUUCAUUUAAAAUAAAUAGAAAAUUUAAAUACAAAAUAAAAUUAUACAGUCCACUUCAUUCAAUACAACAUUUUGGUCCUUCGAGCCGGAUGUUUAACAAAUUAUAAAUAAAUAAAAUUGUGUUGUGCACAAGAAGAUCCUUUCAAAUUACCGCAUCAGGAAGAAGAAACCUAAAUUGCACUUGAUUUUAAAUCUGAAGACAUCAGAUAAUGCAGCCUACAGAUUCUGUUGCGCAGAGGACAAAACCUCUAUCUAUAUUCUCUCGAAGUGUGAGACAUUACAGAACUGCAGAACACUCACCUGGGAGCGUAUGAAAUAGAAGAUGAAGAUAACUGGCAAUUAAAGCCAUCCCACAUUCUGGACUUUCUAAGAGGAGUGGAAUUAAUUAGCUAUGAAUAGUAGAUUCCAGUAGCGCAACAAUAAAGGGGGACCUUUGGAUUACGGUGUAUAUGAUACUCUGAUUUAUACAUACACAUGUGUAUUUAUCUAUAUGUUUAUUUUGUACUUUUUUCGAAUGUAAUAAAAAUUUUUCGUUUUGCUCA
Molecule: long non-coding RNA, 621 nt
Organism: Diorhabda carinulata
Lineage: Eukaryota; Metazoa; Arthropoda; Insecta; Coleoptera; Chrysomelidae
Exons: 2
Source: RefSeq, a predicted model, not a curated record